Manduca sexta (tobacco hornworm) is the source of this 131-nucleotide small nucleolar RNA. The record is from RefSeq and is a predicted model, not a curated record. Lineage: Eukaryota; Metazoa; Arthropoda; Insecta; Lepidoptera; Sphingidae.
AGCCAAAGUGUUGAGUACAGCUUGCAUAAAAUAAAUGCAAACUGAUAAUUUACCUUUGGUAAAUAAUUUGUUAUGCAGCAAUAUAUAUUAGCCUUCAUUGUGCUAAUAUUGUUUGCUCAUAGCAUACAAAU